This 436-nucleotide long non-coding RNA is filed under the name Chinchilla lanigera (long-tailed chinchilla). RNAcentral describes it as "lncRNA (ENSCLAG00000025984.1)". Lineage: Eukaryota; Metazoa; Chordata; Mammalia; Rodentia; Chinchillidae. The record is from RNAcentral.
AGCCAUUCCUGGAUGCCUCCUUAGAGAAAAAGGGGGAGUGUUUACUCAAAAGAGGCUGAAGGAUUUACUGAAAGGACUACUUAAAUUACUUAGAUAAACCCUAAGUUUAUACCAGCUGAAAAGAAUUCAUGUGCACUGUCUCAUUCCUCCCUAACCCCUCCAUUAAUCCUUCCUCUAAAAUCUUGGACACCAGGGCAUUUGGGCACAGAAGAAAGGCCAUACUUUCUUUCCAGCACAGAAGUGUGGUCUGAACGAAACUUCACAAGACCACUAUAUCAGCCUGCACUCAGCCAAAACAGAGUUGAGAAGAAUAAUUCAGUGUUCCCUCUGUUCUCCCACACAUCCUUGCCUAGUUUUCACAGUCUGUGGUUGAAAUGUCUGCAAAGAAGCAAGGACACAACUUCACCAAAUAAAACGUUCUUUCAUUCAUCCUUCA